GGGAGUGGCAAGAGCACUACUGGGAGCACAUGGAUGUGAGCAACAUCCGCUUCAGGCGCAUGGCUGGGGAUUUCACCCAGGCAUCGUGGAGCUGGCAUGCCAACCAAACCUGAAACAUGUCUAUCUUGCAGGGUUUCAGGAUUCAUGUUCAUGCAAACUUGGCCAAGAUGCAAUCAACUUGCACAAAAUGUGGUGGUUCUGGAAAGACUGUGAAGGUAGC
Sorghum bicolor (sorghum) is the source of this 220-nucleotide long non-coding RNA. RefSeq lists it as uncharacterized. The record is from RefSeq and is a predicted model, not a curated record. The transcript is spliced from 3 exons. NCBI's taxonomy places the organism in Eukaryota, Viridiplantae, Streptophyta, Magnoliopsida, Poales, Poaceae.